RNAcentral lists this small nucleolar RNA (96 nucleotides) under Pongo abelii (Sumatran orangutan). Lineage: Eukaryota; Metazoa; Chordata; Mammalia; Primates; Hominidae. The record is from RNAcentral.
GGAUUGACGAUGACUUUAAAAAAAAAAAAAAGAAAAAGAAUCUCAUUGAAAUCUGAAAAAAAUGAGUGACCAAACCACUUCUGUGAGCUGAGGUCC